Molecule: ribosomal RNA, 544 nt
Filed under: uncultured bacterium
Lineage: Bacteria
Description: bacterial SSU rRNA
Rfam family: Bacterial small subunit ribosomal RNA
Source: RNAcentral
GGAAUUUUCCGCAAUGGGCGAAAGCCUGACGGAGCAACGCCGCGUGAGGGAUGAAGGCCUCUGGGCUGUAAACCUCUUUUCUCAAGGAAGAAGAUCUGACGGUACUUGAGGAAUAAGCCACGGCUAAUUCCGUGCCAGCAGCCGCGGUAAUACGGGAGUGGCAAGCGUUAUCCGGAAUUAUUGGGCGUAAAGCGUCCGCAGGCGGCCCUGUAAGUCUGUCGUUAAAGCGUGGAGCUUAACUCCAUUUAAGCGAUGGAAACUACAGGGCUGGAGUGUGGUAGGGGCAGAGGGAAUUCCCGGUGUAGCGGUGAAAUGCGUAGAUAUCGGGAAGAACACCAGUGGCGAAGGCGCUCUGCUGGGCCAUAACUGACGCUCAUGGACGAAAGCCAGGGGAGCGAAAGGGAUUAGAUACCCCUGUAGUCCUGGCCGUAAACGAUGAACACUAGGUGUCGGGGGAAUCGACCCCCUCGGUGUCGUAGCCAACGCGUUAAGUGUUCCGCCUGGGGAGUACGCACGCAAGUGUGAAACUCAAAUGAAUUGACGG